RNAcentral lists this long non-coding RNA (1414 nucleotides) under Capsicum annuum. Its description in RNAcentral is "long non-coding RNA (CANN_LNC003988)". The record is from RNAcentral. Lineage: Eukaryota; Viridiplantae; Streptophyta; Magnoliopsida; Solanales; Solanaceae.
UUACAAAUCUGUUCCUCCUUUGAUUCUUCUCUCUUAAUUUUCUCCAUAAUUCGAGGGCCGUUAGUGGCUUAUUCUCGAACAUGAUUUUCUCCGUAAUUCGAGGGUCAUACGUUAGUGGCUUAUUCUCAAACAUAUGAUGAUCUCUUUAUGAAUAUCCCAUGACUUUGUGGGAUAUUGGAGAUCCCGAUCUUUUUACGAAUACCCAUCCGCUUAUGGGAUGUUCAAGAUCCCUGUUUCAGGGAACAUGUUACCCUUUAAAUAGGCAAGAUUUAGGGUAAAGUAGCCUUCUAGAACUCUAACAGAAUUUGAAUUCUUAUUGAAGAGUCCACAAAUUUUAGAUGUCUACAAAUGCCCCCUACUUCAAGGCUUGUCGAAUAAAACUCUAACAGAAUUUGAAUUCUUAUUGAAGAGUCCACAAAUUUUAGAUGUCUACAAAUGCUCCCUACUUCAAGGCUUGUCGAAGUGUAUAUUCAUGGAAAAUAAACUUCAACCACAAAUAAAAAUAUGAAGAAACAACAGUUUUAUUCAUAAACAACGAGGGUACAAAUAUGUUAUUCUUCUCUCUUGAUUUUCUCCGUAAUUCGAGGGCCGUUAGUUGCUUAUUCUCGAACAUAGGAUGAUCUCUUUAUGAAUAUCCCAUGAUUUUGUGGGAUAUUGGAGAUCCCGAUCUUUUUACGAAUAUCCAUCAGCUUAUGGGAUAUUCAAGAUGCCUGUUUCAGGGAACAUGUUACCCUUUAAAUAGGCGAGAAUUAGAGUAAAUAGCCUUCUAGAACUAUAACAAAAUUUGGAUUCUUAUUGAAGAGUCCACAAAUUUUAGAUGUCUACAAAUGCCCCCUACUUCAAGGUUUGUCAAAGUGUAGAUUUGAUGACGAGUCUUGAAGUACCAAUAGAGCUUUCAUCUUUAUGCGGUGGCUACAGAUUUACAGAUCUGAUUUAUGAGAGAAGAGAUGAAGGGCAGAUUUGGUUCCACUGGGCGUGCCAAUUUGUUCGCAACAAAUUUUCAUUCAUGGAAAAUAAAUUUUAACCAUAAAUAAAAAUAUGAAGAAACAAGAUUUUUUUAUUGAUAAACGAUUGUGGUUACAAAUCUGUUCCUCCCUUAUUCUUCUCUCUUGAUUUUCUCCGUAAUUUGAGGGCCGUUAGUGGCUUAUUCUCGAACAUAAAAUUUGAUAUGAAUUUUUCCAUAAUUCGAGGGUCAUUAAUGACGUAUUUCUCGAACGUAAGAGUAUUUGGAUUUGAUCUCCAUAAAAGGAGGUUUUGUGGAUCUUGAUGUAUUUGAUUAUCAAGAAGAAAGAGUUUUGAUCUAUAAAUAUCCCAUGAAUUUAUUGAAACUUUGAAGAUCGUUGAUGAAUAUCCCGUGAAUUUGUGGGAUACUGAAGAUGUCUUUUAAAGGAUAUUUGCACUCUUUAUAUAAGCA